GCCGAAGUGGCGGAAUGGUAGACGCGCCGGUCUCAAAAACCGGUGAGGGCAACCUCGUGUCGGUUCGACUCCGACCUUCGGCACCA
RNAcentral lists this transfer RNA (86 nucleotides) under Chloroflexota bacterium. RNAcentral describes it as "Chloroflexi bacterium (marine sediment metagenome) tRNA-Leu". It matches the Rfam family "tRNA". Rfam says of the family: Transfer RNA (tRNA) molecules are approximately 80 nucleotides in length. Their secondary structure includes four short double-helical elements and three loops (D, anti-codon, and T loops). The record is from RNAcentral. RNAcentral also lists the same sequence under 1 other name. Lineage: Bacteria; Bacillati; Chloroflexota.